Molecule: long non-coding RNA, 1805 nt
Organism: Corythoichthys intestinalis (scribbled pipefish)
Lineage: Eukaryota; Metazoa; Chordata; Actinopteri; Syngnathiformes; Syngnathidae
Exons: 11
Source: RefSeq, a predicted model, not a curated record
UAAACAUUAAACAUUUGGGUCACCUGGGUUUUAAUGGAGUUUCGUGCUUGAAAUCAUACAGAAAUUAACCAUAUCUACAAAUGGCUAGUGACCCAAUUAAGCCAUUAUAUUUUGAGAAAGCUAAGUCCUAUAUAUAUUAAAAAUUUUCAAAAAAGCUUAACUGCUAAUCAUUGUUUUCGGGAGUGUAUGUAUAAAGUAUUUGGAAGUCAUUUUUCAAAUUUGUCUUUCUGUGCAUGUGCUUUACAGUUGGUGUACAACAUGGAGAAGAGGUUCCAGGAGAUUUUCAAUUUUAUGUCUAGGGGUGAAUUCCCUAAUUUAUAGUGAAUCUCAGAAAUGUGCUUUAAGAAGAUAUAUGCAGAAGCUCAAACUGAAGGUCCCAAACAGAAGCACGAUCACUGUUUAAUGAAGUACACUCGGCUUCAAUUGGUGCACACACAGGCACUGUUAAAACCAGAUCCUCAAUGUACUCCAGAAAUUAUUGGGAUGGCAUGACGGUGGACAUUGACUGAUGGGUCUCUGAAUGCGACGGAUGUCAGAGGACUGGUAACUCUUUGGCUGUGUGUGACACAGCCAUUACAAAGCAUUAAGGUGUCUGCUGUUUGGGAUAGACCUGACUGGGCCUCUCCCAAAAACCAAGGAUGGCUUUCAGUACAUUCUUACUGCCACCGAUUAUUUUUCCAAACACAGAUGCCCCCAAAGAAUCCUGUCCAACCAAGGAAGAGAAUUUGUCAAUUAGCUCAACGAUAACCUUUGUGCCCUCCUGUGCAUUGAAAGGAGUGUUACAGCUGCAUAUCAUCCUAAGACGAAUGGGCUGGAUGAGAGGACAAAGAGCAACAUAAAACGGCAAGUUUUUGUUGUUGUCGGUGUUCUAAAAUGUAUAUCUAAUUGUACCCUUCUACUUCGUACAGCUCUUACAAAAUUGGUGAACGACCGACAGGAUUUGUUUGGUGGUUUGGCCUAUUCAGUAGAUAAUUUUGACCGGAUGGUCAUCUGGUCAAGUGCCGUAAAUAAUAACUUUUUUUGAUUUAACAAUGUUGUGUUUUCAGUGAAAUUACUGUGGGCUGCAGAGGACCAAGGCAAGGUGGAGGCUGUCGUUGGACCGUAUAAAUUAUAUGACAUGUCUUUUCAUACGCUAAAAGGCAACGGCUGGCUGUCUGAUGAAGAGCCCAUUCACCAACUCUCUGCUGUGGUAGCUGGGAGUCUGCUUUUGGGAAAAUUUCAGCCUGUUAGAAAGAGGAAAUUCCCUGUUGAAAAAAAAGUGUAUUUGUCCUGUCCUGUCCUGUAUGCGCUCAUUGGAUUUUAGUGAGAACACUGGUGAUCAACGAUCCCUUGAGUAACGAGGACAAAUAUGAGCAAAAUUUUGCGGAAUUGGAGGAACUUCUUGAGGUUGGCGGGCCGUGAGUUCCAAAUAGAAACUUGGACUACCAAAACUGUGGCCCAUAACAAGCAGCAGAACAACAGUAGCUGUGGGGUUUUCACAUUAAAGUUUGCGGAAGAGUAUAUGGCCAAUGGAGAUCUCAGGCACAACCAGACCCACCUUCCCGAAGUUCUGAAGGCUCGAGGAGAUCUAGCCUGUGCCCUCCUACAGGCUGGGAGUCUGAGAUGUCUAUUUAAAUUAAAAAAAAAAUGUCUCAAAACUUACUUGGUCUCCUCACCUCACAUAAUUGAACUCCUGAUUGCUCUCAAUGUCACUAUUUACUUUCAAAGGCAUCCAAAGAACAGAUCUGAGGAUUUGCUGCUGCGCUUUAUCCUCUCUUGCCAUCAUUGAUCACUUAUUAGGUUUGUCGCGAUAAAAAAAGUGUUUA